CAGUGCUGUGACUUAUUAAAUACAGUGUAAGAGCUAUUUGUCUUUGUAAAUGUGUCCACUAGGGGUCACUGUUGUAUUAAUGAGUGAAUAUAGGUAGGAACAUUCCUUCAGGUGACAGGUGUUGCUGGAGGAAGGUGCACACAGUUUUUGACCACAUCACGAGGCAAUGCUGUUACCAACAAUGCAAACCAACACAAUAAAUAAAAUAAAUACUCUGAGCAUCCAAAUGAACUGAGAAAUAAACACCAGAAAAUCUCAGAACUGGAGAAUCUGAUCAAAGAGCUCCAGGAGAAACAGACUAUCAGAGGAAAAACCAAAGCAGCUGCAGGAACUUCCUGAUUCGUCAGCCCCACAUCAGGAAAGGAUGCAGCUUGAUGUUUUGCCUCCACAAAUGAGUGAAGAGACCCAGCAGGACCGAUCAGGAGAAGCAAAAGAUUUUUGAAUCCGCCAAUGACAUUAACAUGGGAACUAAACAUGACACUGGUGCUGCUUAGGCGGAUGAGGUCUGGGAAGAAUGCAACAGGAACCAAAAAAGACCAUCCUGGGCAGAGAGGAAAUAACUGUUCAAUUGUAGAUACGGUAUACCAUCUAAAACAUCCAUGCUGUAAUUAGUGUAAAUAGUUUUUCAGGGUUUUUUUUUUGUAUUUUUUCUAAACUGUUGCUUUGUGCUUUCAUUAGUUUUUUUUUUUUUUUUAGAUUUUUUUCAUUAAAGGCUGUACAAUAUUUGAUGUCAAUUUUUAAAUCUUGUUUCACUGAUUAGAUUUUCUACUAUGCUACUACUCAUAGUCAUUGUGUACUUUCCCUCAAAUUUGUACUUAAAAUGUCUUGAUAAUGAUUUUGUUUGUAAUAAAUCUGACCAUUUUUCA
Long non-coding RNA from Tachysurus fulvidraco (yellow catfish), 866 nucleotides. RefSeq lists it as uncharacterized. The transcript is spliced from 4 exons. NCBI's taxonomy places the organism in Eukaryota, Metazoa, Chordata, Actinopteri, Siluriformes, Bagridae. The record is from RefSeq and is a predicted model, not a curated record.